Phyllopteryx taeniolatus (common seadragon) is the source of this 5208-nucleotide long non-coding RNA. RefSeq lists it as uncharacterized. Lineage: Eukaryota; Metazoa; Chordata; Actinopteri; Syngnathiformes; Syngnathidae. The record is from RefSeq and is a predicted model, not a curated record. The transcript has 4 exons.
CUGCUGAACCGCUCGUGAGUUUCAGCUCCAAUUGCACCCUGGCAUACGUGCUCUGAUUUAUGGAAGAUGCAGAAAAAUAAAUACAUCAAUUACACGAACAGUUAUCGAAAUGUUUGAAUGGGAGCGAGGAUAUAUAUCUAUAUCUAUAUCUAUAUAUAUAUCUAUGUAUAAAUCUAUAUCUAGUUGAAUAGCUGGCGUUUUUAUUUGCACACAAAACAAAGGUUGCGCUCUCAGGUGAGCGCUUUGUGCGGCCACUUGGCUCGGCGAUGAAAGGCGUAUCAUUGUUAUUGCGUGCCGUCGUGGCAGCUGCAUAAAGGCUGCGAGUUGACGCAAGGGUCACGCCGCCGACCUCUCUGCGCAUUGACCACAACCGCUGGGUGUGCCAGAAACGCGUAAAUCUCCUUACGCAGGCAGCAGAUGCGCCGCGUCCAUUUUGUGCUCCGUUCAUUUACAUAAAACACGCAUUUGAGAACGCCGGCAGCGGGUUGAUUUGCAUGCAACUUUGCCGUGACAAUCAGAUAUCCCGAAGCACUUGAACGCCACAUCGCACAGGAAACGAUGACCUAAGUCAACUUUAAUGACGUGUCACUGUGGCGCGUGCAUGAAAUACAUUUCUGCUGGCAUCAUUAAGGAUGCUCAGUUGAACGACUCUCAUACUAACAAUAAUAAAAGUGAUACUAUUAAAUUCGAUUUAUAUAGAUGUGUCAAACACAGCAUUUCCGAAGUAUUCAUUGUUUUUUUUUUUAAUAAACACUGUCAUUUAGAAUUGUAUUUUUGGUGGUGGUUGUAGUUCAAUGCACUGGGAACUACACACGUGUAAUAAAUUCUAAUGAAUACAAUUGGAAUGUGAUGACAUUACAAACUACAAGCACAAUAAUAUACAUCGAAUGAAUGAAUGCUUCUCGGACAGUGACAUUUGAAAAGGGAACAAUAUAUAUAUUUUUACAGUUCUUCAAUUGGAUAUUAUUAUCUCGUGCGAGAGGUCAUAAUACGAUUUGAUUGAUUCUCUUUACUUGAGCUGCAUGUUAAUGUUAAUUCAACAUGACAUUUUCUUGGGUCUCGUUGAAUAUUACUUUUUGUACGGAAAAAAUAGCGUCCGUAAAAAAAAGCAGAACCAAGUCAAGAGCUGUACGGAGAAAAUCUUUCUUGGACAAAGAGAAUAAUGCUCAGUUUUGAUUGACACUUUGAGAGGAAUUGAUUUAAUACGGUCAUUAUUGUUUAGUGGUUAUAGUUGACGAUGGUCUUGAAUUAUGCAUCACAGGCUAGAUGUAUCUUCGGCUGGGUGUCCAAAACAUUAGGAACAGCUCCGGGAUGCAGCCAACGACAUACAGUAUUGUCAUUGUUAUUUUAAGAUCACAGCAUGCACAUGCACGACACAACAUGUAGUACUUUCAUUUCAUGUAUAUUUAGAGUCUAAGAGCAUCAUAAUACCAUAGUUUGCCAGAUCCAAAUUCUGAUCGCCUUUUCACAGCUGUGUGAUUUAUGUCGCCCCGCACAUUCUGCUGCGGCCAAUGUGUGCAUUAAAAACCACGCCAGUGAAUGUUGUUGCUCUCUCUGUGUGCGUGCGUGCGUGCGUGCGUGUGUUUUGGGCUCACUUAUGAAGUGCGCUGUGCAAACUCCAGUCCUUUCAUUUGGCCCUGCAUAUUUUAUUUUUCUUUUCUUACAGCAAUAGAGGGCACCGGAACCGUAAAUCUUCUGUGUGUUCCAGAACAGCCCAAUUUGUAUGCAGCGUUCUCACCGGCAGCAUCCUCUGUGCCCAUUAACGCCUCCGCCCUCGGUCUCAUCUUAUCUGCCGGGCCUGUCUGGUCGCCAGCUGCGCGUGCGCACACGCGAACCCGGUCAGCAUCUCCACAAAACAACACCAGAGAGGAACAAAGACUGCCGCUGCUCUUAGAUGACCAUGUUGUCUGGAAAAAGUAGCAGAAAAGCUUCAAGUUGGCAGCAGACGACUUGGGUCCCGCACAGCUCAGCCAUUGGACGGCUCACAAGCACGUGAUCCGGGCUGCCUCCUGGCUGAGAUGGAGCUCAAGACCAGGAAGUGGACUUUUCUGUCAUCUUGCCAUUUAAGAGCAAUAUUCCCAUGGAUGAAUCCACAGAUAUGUGGCUUGGAGCGAGAUGACAGGAAUGGGCUCCGGGCCGGUGUUCCGAGGAAACAAGAGUGCGACCUUUGCGAGUGGGCAGCUGCUGGAGCCGGAGAAGGAAUUCCGUCUCUGCCCUUGGCAAAUGGAAAUGGCCACGGGCCUGCAGCUCACUGAUCACCAGGUCAAGAUCUGGUUCCAGAACUGCAGGAUGAGGCAGAGGAGCCAAGAUGAGUCGGCUGUAGCCCGGUUGUCUCCUCGCCGUGUCCGAUUAUCUCAUCCUCACAGUUUACGGAUUAUUCCCCUCCAUCCUCAUUUGGUUCUACCAGUGAUCGCCUUAUUCAUAACAUUUUAUACAGUGGGGUCUUGAGAUAAGACAUUUGUUAAUUUUUUGGACCAUGGCAUUAAUCCAUUGCAGUCUACCACCCACCAGUAAAAGGGUUUGUAUUGAUAAAAAUAGCACUCUAUAAUGUUAUACUUUACAGAAACAAACAGUAAUGAUAAAAUUACAUAGAAUUGUCAAAUUCAACAGUCUUUGUCACACUUUGUCGUUCAAUGGAAAUUGUGCUGCUCAUUCUGGUGUGUGCACAUUUGGCACCUGGGGGCAGUGUAAGACAGACACACGGAUAUGCUGAACUGGACUGACUGGCGACCAAUUUAAGGGUGGAGUCCGCCUUUCGAUCGAAGUCAGCUGGGAUAGGCUCCAGCGCCCCGCGACCCUAACCAGGUUAAGCGGUGUUGAAAAUGGAUGGAUGGAUGGAGACUCACCUCCUCUCUCGACUUUUCAGUACAGCAGUAAUACUAGUCAUUCUUCGCAGAGGACAAAGACUAUAUGCCAGUCGGUAUUGUUAUAUUGUCUGUUUACCUGUGUUGCUGCGGUGUUUGUGUUCAGAUAUCCUAAAGGGGAACAACAACCGCCAUAUACUCUCACUCUUUGUUAUAUUGCAGCCAUUUGUUAAAAUCAUUUAAGUAUUUUUUUUUCUCAUUUAUUUACGCACAGCACCCUAUAUGGACAGAAACAAAACGUAAUUGAUGACAUUUUUGCUGAUUUAUUGAAAAAAGAAAAACUGAAACAUCACACAGCCGUAAAGUAUUCAGACCCUUUGCUGUGACACUCAUAUUUAAAUCGGGUGCAUCCGUAAAAUGGUUCUACACCUUCAUUGUAGUCCAGCUGUGUUUGAUGAUACUGAUUGGACUUGAUUAGGAAAACCACACACCUGUCUAAAAGACCUACAGCUCACAGUUCAUGUCAGAGCAAAUGAGAAUCAUGAGGUCAAGGGAACUGCCUGAAGAGCUCAGAGACAGAAUUGUUGCAAGAAAGAAAUUCUGCUGCGCUUAAUGUUCCGAAGAGCACAGUGGCCUCCAUAAGCCUUAAACGGAAGACGUUUGGGACGAUCAGAACCCUUCUUAGAGUUGUCCGUCCGGCCAAACUGGGCAAUCGGGGGAGAAGAUACUUGGUGAGAGAAGUAAAGAAGAACCCAAAGAUCACUGUGGCUGAGCUCCACAGAUGCAGUUGGGAGAUGGGAGAAAGUUCUACAAAGGCACCCAUCACUGCAGCCCUCCACCAGUCGGGGCUUAAUGGCAGAGUGGCCCGACGGAAGCCUCUCCUUUGUGAAAGAUACAUGGCAGCAUCAUGCUGUGUGUGUGUGUGUUUUUCAGCCGCAGGGACAGGAUGACUGGUUGCAAUCGAAGCAAAACUGAAUGCGGGGAAGUAGAGGGAUAUCCUGGACGAAACCCCACAGCUAAAAUACCGAAGGAGUGGCUUCAGAACAACUCGGUGACUGUUUUUGAAUGGCCCAGCCAGAGCCCUGACUUAAACCUAAUUGAGCAACUCUGGAAAGACCUGAAAAUGGCUGCCCACCAACGUUCACCAUCCAACCUGACAGAACUGGAGAGGAUCUGCAAUGAGGAAUGGCAGAUGAUCCCCAAAUCCAGGUGUGAAAAACUCCCCAAAAGACUCAUGGCUGUAUUAGCUCAAAAGGGUGCUUGUACUCAAUACUGAGCAAAGGGUCUGAAUACUUAUGGCUGUGUGAUAUUGCAGUUUUUCUUUUUGAAUCAAUUGCAAAAAUGUCAUCAAUUGGUUUUUUUUCUGUCAAUAUGGGGUGCUGUGUGUACAUUAAUGCGGGGGGAAAAAUGCAUUUAAAUGAUUUUAGCAAACGGCUGCAAUAUAAAAAAAAAAAGAGUGCAAGCUUUAAGGGGGUCUGAAUACUUUCCGUACCCACUGUAGAGAGACGUCGAUUAGCCUGUGUGCCUUUGGUCUUUCCUUUUGCAUUUAGCAUUAAGGUUGCAGAGGCUGUGUGGUUGUUUCAAAGACACAACAGGUUAAAUGUUUAGUUUGACAGGAACCUUCAGCUGAGAGUGGCAAUAAACAGCUUGGAAACGCUUUUUGGAAGAAUAUUUACCAGUUACAUCUGCCAAACUGCUGCUUGUUGCGAGUUGAGUCACCUGCCACCAUAGCAUACAACUACGUAUCUCAAGUUUGCGCUUGCGAGUCGAAGCUUGGAACAAAUUCAUUCAUUUUUAAAAAUCGGCCAAUUGACGGCUCUUAUCUCGCAAAAGUCGGAAGUUGGGUCACUCGUAUCUCAAGGCACCACUGUACUUCCAUCUGUUCCCUUGGCCCAGAUCAUCAUCGCCACAUUCCAAAGUGGCCCUCAGGACCAUUAGUGGCCAUCUUACUCUUGAUACAUUUACUUCCACUCAUUAGCAUCUGUCAUCUUAAAUCCCAUGGCACACAACCAUAACUCGCUUUGAUGAAGGUACUGUACAAGAACCGAUCAAGUUUAAAGUUAAAUCACUGCAAAUCUGAUGGCACUGAAUACAGCAUAAAAAAAAAAAAAAAAAGAAUAGUUUUGCUGUGUUUCUGUGGAUUGUUUUUCGUAUUGUUGCAUGUUUUAAGCCUUUUUGCUUGCAUCAUGUGCUGCAACUCGUAACACGAUUGAAUGUAGUAGCAGGAUAUUUUUCUUCAAAUGAAACAAUCCUUUGAUGCAGUUCUCAUCUGAAUCUCACAUUCUGUCCACGCUCAAUAAAUUCAAUACCCGCUUGGAAUGACUUGUGCUUCAAUCUUUAUUUCACUUUGAAAGAUUCCUCUGCUGCAUUCUAAAAAGGUAACCGUACUGAGGCCAAAGGCUGC